This is a long non-coding RNA of Alligator mississippiensis (American alligator), 3609 nucleotides long. RefSeq lists it as uncharacterized. NCBI's taxonomy places the organism in Eukaryota, Metazoa, Chordata, Crocodylia, Alligatoridae. The record is from RefSeq and is a predicted model, not a curated record. The transcript has 5 exons.
AGGGGCACAAUGAGGGACAGUUUCCCUGUUACUUCCAAUCUCCCUGGUGUACUUCAUGGAGGUGCACACUGGAGCACUGGUAAAGGUGGCCAUGACUGUGCAGUCUGGGUUCUGGGCUGGUGGCAGAUCCCUCCCCAAGGCUAGAAGGAUCGAUCCGUAGUGGGGGCUUCAGCUCUGGUCAACCUCUGAUGUAUUUCAGGGCUUGGUGGAAAGCACGUACAUCUUCAUUUCUCACUCGGAGAUCAGACUGGCUUAUGCUGCUUGUCACACAGAGGAUUGGUGGGAAACCAUUUUGGGAUGUUAUGAUGGGUCCCUCUCUUCCAGCCAGCCUUCUGACCCCUUCCCUCUCAUGGGAAACAUGAACUAUGGCAACUCUUGCUCAGCUCAAGAUUCAUGAGGCUCCUGCAUUACAUCACAAUUCCAGGCAGCUGCAUUAUAUCAAGAAAGGAGAAAAUAAAGACCCUGAUCUGUGUUUUACAUUAUAACGAUAUACUGCAUAUUGCUAUAGGUGACCGGGCUCAGUUGGACUGCCAAAAAUAUAAUGAGCUGGGAGUUUCAAGGCCCUUGCAUGUGACACCUGGAAGGUGGUGACGGGAGCUGAUUAGAAACUUGCCUGACCGGAAGAAGAACUCUAUAUAAUCCCUGAGCCACCCUGCCACCACCCCCCAGGAGCUUAAAAGUAAUGCUCGAGUUUGUCCUCAUCAGCCAAAAGAAACACAAGAACAGGGUUGCUGAUUUCUCCUGAGGUUCCCUUGGAACGAGCCCACAAGUGAAAGGCUGUGACUGUUGUAAAAGGCACACCUCUCUACAGUCUGCUGGACAGAAGAACAUGCCUAGAGUGGAAGGGGCCAUGAGCUUGUCUUCAUUGUAUUGCAUCCAGGGGGACACUACUAAGGAGUAGUUGGUGUCUGUGUUUCCAUAGCAGGUCACAGUGACCCAAGGCCUUAGUCUGAGCCUCCUUUGACUCUCUUGCCCACCUUGCAUCCACAGAGGGACAAGCACAAUCCAGUAGGUAGCCAAGGACCAGACUUUUAUACAGGCUGAGCCUUUAGUGAGAAAAAGAAGUAAUAUUGUGCAAAACAAUUCAAUAACCAUGACAUCAAAUUGCUCCUUAAAGGGACAGGGACUUGCACCUAACAAAUCAAUUGUUUCACUGGGUGUUUGCUGUGGAGCUGGAACUGUCAUCCCCAGAGUUCCUAAAAUUUUAGGCAAUAAAGCAGCACUGGUAGCUCUAAGGAGAGAGUUUGUAAGGCACAAGUGAGAGUUAGUGGCCUACUUCCCAUUGACUUUCAUCAAGAAUUGGCUGCCUUGCUGCUCAUUGCGCCUUCAGAAAUCUCCCUUUAGUCUGUGUAAUCUCUUUAACCCCCUUUUAAUUAGCUUGUCUUCCUGGAAUGAGGAACCAAGAAGCUGUGUUGAAGGAUUACUGCUGUAUCUAACAGCUGCUAGGAUAGACCAGUUCAUAUUAGCAGAGCACAACUUUGGUGAGAGGCACCAGACUGAGAUAAGCAUUGAAUCAGACCCAUGUGUUUGGUUCAAGUACUGGUCCAUGUACAGGCAUGAAGUUAUUAACUAUCCUGUCCCUUCUUGCGCACACUGUCCCAGAGCAGCAUGUGCUUAUUAUACAGUGGUGCAGUAAACUUAUGCACUAGAAAACUUGUGGAAGGUGAAUGCUCAAGGGGCAUGAUCACAGUGAAAAUCAGUUGUCUCAAAUUCAGAUGAAUAUCCAUAAAACAUGUAGUUGGACGAAUGUGAAUGUGUCCAAAUGGUGGUGUUUGGAGGUAUAACGGCCCAUCUGUAGUCGCGGACCCUUACAAUUCCAAGGACACUGUUCACAGGUAGAGACUUUUGAAUAAGCAUGAUGAGUUCUCUAUUGAAAUGCAGUGUGCAAAAAGAGUGACAUUUUAAAACGUAAGGACCUCAUUGGACAAGAAACCUGCUCAGCUAAGAAUAGGCUUGGCUAAGUGAAAUCUGAACUUCACUGUCUGUAUCUUGCCUGACUUGAACCUUUGAAAGAUGAUGUUGCUUUUAAAGUGACACCUAUACAUUAUAACACUUCUUUGAGUUCAACAUGUAUACAGUAAAGGCCUUGGGUCAUGUUAAUGCCUGAGGUAACUUCAUUGUCCUCAAGGAAAUGAUGUCACAUGGAUUUGGCAGAUGUAUGCCCCAUGCUACCUUGCUGUUACCUACAAAGAAUCCCUCGUUGCAAUAUUAAGCUCAAUACCUCUUCCGAUAACAAGUCAGCUUCUCAAGGGCAGAGCCAGCCUUAAUGAAUUCAUCUUUGUGGGGCAUGUUGUGAUUCACAGGUGGAAGGUGCCAUAGAUCUUCAACACACUAAUUAAUAAUACCAAAAAAUGAAUGAAUCUCAAACCCUGGCAGCAGCCUCUAACCCACAUUCUGCCAGCUUGGACUGGUCACCCCUAGAUUCUCCUGGGAGGAAAAAAGAUUACUUGCCUCCUCUAUUUCAGUGAGUCCUUAAAACAUCACCACAUCCUAAGAACACUAGCUGAAAAAACAGCUGCCUUUUCUGCCUGAUGAGGUUAAUAAUAACUUUGAAUGCAUAUGUACAGCAUUAGCUUUCAUGGUAACAUGCAUAAUUCAAAUCCCCCAAAGAACAGUAGAGCUUUGAGGAAGCAAACUUCCUUAAUGUACUGGGCAAGGAUCCAGCUUUUACCAGCUGUUGAGGGUUGAUGUACAAUUUUUGGUUAAGUGAAUAAUUUAUCAUGGAUAUUAUCUGUAGUGUAUCACAUCCCAACAGUUUGUAGGCCUGUGCAUAUGGCUUUUGAGAUGCCAGAACACUGCCAUAUGCUUCAUGGCCCAUUACCACUUCAGACUCCCUUAAGAUGUUUUUCCCCAUGUUAAGCAUGUUAGAAGCACAGUGUUUAGUGGGAAUGCUAGCUCUGUGCAAAGGUAGGUGGACGUUUUUAGAGGACUUUUAUGUUGGCUACAUGUAUAGUGAUGCUUACUGCUCUUAAAUAAACUAUCUGGUUGUCUCAAGACUUGGGUUAUAAAUUGUAAGGAGCACCUGCCCAACACUCAGCCCCAAAUACCACUCAUUAUGCAGAUGACCCUGUUGUGGACUUGAUUAUAGUGUCUACGCAAAUCAAAGCUCCUUUAAUCAGUCUGUUGAGCAGGUAGUACCCCAUGCACUUAGAGGACAGGGAACAGAAGUGGGACACUUCAACAACCUCAUGAAACAUGUGGAACAUUGUGUCUCAUAUUCCAGGUGGGCUUGUCCUAUUUCUUACAAAGAAAUAAAGUUGUCAAGGAUGCUGCAAAGCUUCUUGGCAGUGUUUUAUUUGAACAAAACACAUCUCUCUUGUGGCUUCUUUAUCUUCCGAUGUCAAGUCUGUAUUAUAAUGGUACACUCUGUGGAGCCUCACUACUCUGCUGUGGGAAAAUUGGGGUGAACUCCUGCCUUGGUUUUUUCUGAACACAAUACAAAAUAUAUCUGCACAAUUCAUCUUGGAAGGAGGCUUCUGUUUUGUUGGCAUGUGGCUAAAUGAGAGGGCAACAUGUAUGUCCCAUUGAAGGUACAAGCUUCCCAGUUUAGAGCAGAGACCACAGGGGCAGCUUUUUCAAGGGAGCUAGGCACUUAAAACUCUGUAAAAC